UUGAACGCUGGCGGCAUGCCUUACACAUGCAAGUCGAACGGUAACAGGUUAAGCUGACGAGUGGCGAACGGGUGAGUAAUGUAUCGGAACGUGCCCAGUCGUGGGGGAUAACUGCUCGAAAGAGCAGCUAAUACCGCAUACGACCUGAGGGUGAAAGCGGGGGAUCGCAAGACCUCGCGCGAUUGGAGCGGCCGAUAUCAGAUUAGGUAGUUGGUGAGGUAAAGGCUCACCAAGCCGACGAUCUGUAGCUGGUCUGAGAGGACGACCAGCCACACUGGGACUGAGACACGGCCCAGACUCCUACGGGAGGCAGCAGUGGGGAAUUUUGGACAAUGGGCGCAAGCCUGAUCCAGCCAUGCCGCGUGCGGGAAGAAGGCCUUCGGGUUGUAAACCGCUUUUGUCAGGGAAGAAAAGGUUCUGGCUAAUACCUGGGACUCAUGACGGUACCUGAAGAAUAAGCACCGGCUAACUACGUG
This 476-nucleotide ribosomal RNA is filed under the name uncultured bacterium. Its description in RNAcentral is "partial 16S ribosomal RNA". It matches the Rfam family "Bacterial small subunit ribosomal RNA", at positions 30 to 507 of the family's 1533-position model. The record is from RNAcentral.